GAUCAAGAUACUAAGGGCACACGGUGAAUGCCUUGGCAUCAGAAGCCGAUGAAGGACGUGGCAAGCUGCGAUAAGCUCCGGGUAGGUGCAAACCACCGUCGAUCCGGAGAUGUCCGAAUGGGGAAACCCAGCCGGGGUCAUGCCCGGUUACCCAUGCCUGAACACAUAGGGCAUGUGGAGGCAACCUGGGGAACUGAAACAUCUAAGUACCCAGAGGAAGAGAAAUCAACCGAGAUUUCCCUAGUAGUGGCGAGCGAACGGGAAAGAGCCUAAACCCGCGUAUGCGUAUAGCCUGUGGGCGUUGCUGCGCGUGGGGUUGUGGGAGUCAUCGACCUAGGGCCACUGACCUAGGACGGAGUUACAAAGCGGCAGGGUAGCGGAACGGCUUUGGAAAAGCCGGCCACAGAAGGUAAAAGCCCUGUAUGCGAAAUUCUGCCGCCUCCGAGAUGACCACCCGAGUACUGCCGGACACGUGAAAUCCGGUAGGAAUCUGGGGGGACCACCCUCCAAGGCUAAAUACUCUCUGAUGACCGAUAGUGAACCAGUACCGUGAGGGAAAGGUGAAAAGCACCCCGAGAGGGGAGUGAAAUNNGCCGGCUUGCCGGCAGGGUGGUGGCGUGCCUUUUGUAGAAUGAGCCAGCGAGUUACCGUAUGCAGCAAGGUUAAGCUUGAAAGCGAGCCGUAGCGAAAGCGAGUCUUUAAACGGGCGUUCAGUUGCAUGUGGUAGACGCGAAGCCAGGUGAUCUAUCCAUGGGCAGGCUGAAGCGGGGGUAAGACCCCGUGGAGGGCCGAACCCACUUCGGUUGAAAACGGAGGGGAUGACCUGUGGAUCGGAGUGAAAGGCUAAUCAAACCUGGAGAUAUCUCGUUCUCCCCGAAAUAGCUUUAGGGCUNNGGGCUUCACCGCUUACCGAAGUCAGCCAAACUCCGAAUGCCGGUACUCCAGAGAUCGGGAGUCAGACUAUGUGGGCUAAGCUGUGUAGUCGAGAGGGAAACAGCCCAGACCGCCUGCUAAGGUCCCUAAAUUCAUGCUAAGUGGCAAAGGAUGUGCGUUUGCACAGACAACCAGGAUGUUGGCUUAGAAGCAGCCAUUCAUUUAAAGAGUGCGUAAUAGCUCACUNNUGAUACCGAAGCAGCGGACUUCGCGUUUACGCGGAGUGGUAGGGGAGCAUUCUGUACCGGGUCGAAGCGGGCGGGUGACCGUCCGUGGACUGUACAGAAGAGAGAAUGCUGGCAUGAGUAGCGAGAGAAGUGUGAGAAACACUUCCGCCGUAAGCCUAAGGGUUCCUGGGCAAGGCUAAUCCUCCCAGGGUCAGUNNAGACAUUCCUGUACCACUGACAGCGCGUUAUCACCGAUGGGGUGACGGAGAAGGGUAGCUGAGCGCGGUUCUGGACGUCCGCGUGAAAGGCUGUAGGGCGUCAGGUAGGCAAAUCCGCCUGACACAUGCCUGAGAGCUGAUGACGAAGCGAUUGAGUGAAGUCAGUGAUCCCAUGCUUUCAAGAAAAACCUCUAGGGAGUGCUGUGGGUGCCCGUACCCCAAACCGACACAGGUAGGCGGGUAGAGAAUACCAAGGCGAUCGAGAGAACUACGGUUAAGGAACUCGGCAUAAUGGAUCCGUAACUUCGGGAGAAGGAUCACCCCGGCCCGUGAGUAUCUUCGCGGUACAAGCGGACUGGGGUCGCAGUGAAACGGCCCAAGCGACUGUUUACUAAAAACACAGGACUCUGCUAAGUCGUAAGACGAGGAGGGGUCAGCCGCAAGGCGAAGCUCUGAAUCUAAGCCCCAGUAAACGGCGGCCGUAACUAUAACGGUCCUAAGGUAGCGAAAUUCCUUGUCG
Molecule: ribosomal RNA, 1838 nt
Organism: Clostridiales bacterium PH28_bin88
Lineage: Bacteria; Bacillati; Bacillota; Clostridia; Eubacteriales
Rfam family: Bacterial large subunit ribosomal RNA
Source: Rfam